Molecule: ribosomal RNA, 492 nt
Filed under: uncultured bacterium
Lineage: Bacteria
Description: partial 16S ribosomal RNA
Rfam family: Bacterial small subunit ribosomal RNA
Source: RNAcentral
AGUGAACGCUGGCGGUAGGCCUAACACAUGCAAGUCGAACGGCAGCACAGUAAGAGCUUGCUCUUACGGGUGGCGAGUGGCGGACGGGUGAGGAAUACAUCGGAAUCUACUUUUUCGUGGGGGAUAACGUAGGGAAACUUACGCUAAUACCGCAUACGACCUACGGGUGAAAGCAGGGGAUCUCCGGACCUUGCGCGAUUGAAUGAGCCGAUGUCGGAUUAGCUAGUUGGCGGGGUAAAGGCCCACCAAGGCGACGAUCCGUAGCUGGUCUGAGAGGAUGAUCAGCCACACUGGAACUGAGCCACGGUCCAGACUCCUACGGGAGGCAGCAGUGGGGAAUAUUGGACAAUGGGCGCAAGCCUGAUCCAGCCAUACCGCGUGGGUGAAGAAGGCCUUCGGGUUGUAAAGCCCUUUUGUUGGGAAAGAAAAGCAGCAGGUUAAUACCCCGCUGUUCUGACGGUACCCAAAGAAUAAGCACCGGCUAACUUCGUG